This is an RNA transcript of Cebus imitator (Panamanian white-faced capuchin), 1195 nucleotides long. It is a transcript of the gene named long-chain-fatty-acid--CoA ligase 3-like, with no coding region annotated. The record is from RefSeq and is a predicted model, not a curated record. NCBI's taxonomy places the organism in Eukaryota, Metazoa, Chordata, Mammalia, Primates, Cebidae. The transcript has a single exon.
AUGGCAGCAGUUCCGGAAAUCAUGGAUUGGAUCUACCAAAAUGUCAUGAAUAAAGUGAAUGAAAUGAGUAGUUUUCAACGCAAUCUAUUUAUUCUGGCCUAUAAUUACAAAAUGGAACAGAUUUCAAAAGGACGUAGUACUCCACUGUGCAAUAGCUUUGUUUUCCAGAAAGUUCGAAGCUUGCAAGGGGGAAAUAUUCAUCUCCUGUUGUGUGGUGGUGCUCCAUUUUCUGCAACCACACAGCGAUUCAUGAACAUCUGUUUCUGCUGUCCUGUUGGUCAGGGAUAUGGACUCACUGAAUCUGCUGGGGCCAGAACAAUUACAGAAGUGUGGGACUAUAAUACUGGCAGAGUGGGAGCACCAUUAGUUUGCUGUGAAAUCAAAUUCAAAACUGGGAGGAAGGUGGAUACUUUAAUACUGAUAAACCACAUCCCAGGGGUGAAAUUCUUAUUGGGGGCCAAAAUGUGACAAUGGGAUACUACAAAAAUGAAGCAAAAACAAAAGCUGAUUUCUUUGAAGAUGAAAAUGGACAAAGGUGGCUCUGUACUGGGGAUAUUGGAGAGUUUGACCUGAUGGAUGCUUAAAAAUUAUUGAUCGUAAAAAGGACCUUGUAAAACUACAGGCAGGAGAAUAUGCUUCCCUUGGGAAAGUAGAGGCAGCUUUGAAGAAUCUUCCUCUAGUAGAUAACAUUUGUGCGUAUGCAAACAGUUAUCAUUCUUAUGUCAUUGGAUUUGUUGUGCCAAAUCAAAAGGAACUAGCUGAACUAGCUAGAAAGAAAGGACUUAAAGGGACUUGGGAAGAGCUGUGUAACAGUUGUGAAAUGGAAAAUGAGGUACUUAAAGUGCUUUCUGAAGCUGCUAUUUCAGCAAGUCUGGAAAAGUUUGAAAUUCCAGUAAAAAUUCGUUUGAGUCCUGAACCGUGGACCCCUGAAACUGGUCUGGUGACAGAUGCCUUCAAGCUGAAACACAAAGAGCUUAAAACACAUUACCAGGUGGACAUCGAGCGAAUGCAUGGAAGAAAAUAAUUAUUCUCUUCUGGCAUCAGUUUGCUACAGUGAGCUCAGAUCAAAUAGGAAAAUACUUGAAAUGCAUGUCUCAAGCUGGGAGGCAAACUCCAUUCUUCAUAUUCAACCUAAACUGUUACUUCUCGUGACGUAACAAGUUUUAACUGACAGGAUUAGUAAAACAUUAAGACA